GACGAACGCUGGCGGCGUGCUUAACACAUGCAAGUCGAACGGAAAGGCCCUGCUUUUGUGGGGUGCUCGAGUGGCGAACGGGUGAGUAACACGUGAGUAACCUGCCCUUGACUUUGGGAUAACUUCAGGAAACUGGGGCUAAUACCGGAUAGGAGCUCCUGCUGCAUGGUGGGGGUUGGAAAGUUUCGGCGGUUGGGGAUGGACUCGCGGCUUAUCAGCUUGUUGGUGGGGUAGUGGCUUACCAAGGCUUUGACGGGUAGCCGGCCUGAGAGGGUGACCGGCCACAAUGGGACUGAGAUACGGCCCAGACUCCUACGGGAGGCAGCAGUGGGGAAUAUUGUACAAUGGGCGGAAGCCUGAUGCAGCAACGCCGCGUGCGGGAUGACGGCCUUCGGGUUGGAAACCGCAUUCGCCUGUGACGAAGCGUGAGUGACGGUAAUGGGUAAAGAAGCACCGGCUAACUACGUG
RNAcentral lists this ribosomal RNA (468 nucleotides) under uncultured bacterium. RNAcentral describes it as "partial 16S ribosomal RNA". It matches the Rfam family "Bacterial small subunit ribosomal RNA", at positions 28 to 507 of the family's 1533-position model. The record is from RNAcentral.